Molecule: long non-coding RNA, 1227 nt
Organism: Haemorhous mexicanus (house finch)
Lineage: Eukaryota; Metazoa; Chordata; Aves; Passeriformes; Fringillidae
Exons: 2
Source: RefSeq, a predicted model, not a curated record
GGGGAACACGCUCCGCCCUCGCCGCCCGACAAUAGGCGGAGAGCGCGCCCGCUUGUGGCGAUCACCCCUCUGCGGCGGCGUAUGGUACAGCCCCAGGACGGGGGUCUUAAAGGGGCAGGAGCAGCGAGAGGGGCCGGCAACUUCACUUCCCUGGGUGAUGAGUUCUGAAUUCACCCCCCAGCCCUGAGGAACUGGGACUUGUUGGACUCCACUGUCCAAGAGCAUCUCACUGUGGAAUGGAUUCCCUCAGAAAAGCAGGGAACAGAAAUCUCCACAAACACCCAUCUGAAGGGCACAGAAGACAGGUCCAGCACAUUGCAUAUGACCAGGAGGUGCAGCUGGACUUGGAACACUCCUGGGGACAUGGUGGAAGCCGUACAAAUCAGAGAGACCAAGUGAUCUGCCACAGUCACCAAGAAGCUCCCAAAAGAUCUGGAAGCAGAAAGAAAAAUAAAUUUAAACUGUGGCUUUGUGCUCAGUCCUGUCCUUGGGGCUCACCUGGAAGGCUGUGGCAAAUACCUUGUCCCAGCAUGGAAAAAACAUGCUCCUUUCUUCCUGGAGGGAGGUUUGCACCACCUGGGACUGGGGCGGGGACUCUUACAGGGCUUCCUCUACCGCAAUAAAGCCAGGAACUGCUCCUUGGAAACACAUCCCUCUGACAGCUCUGCGGGGAGAGCGACUCUCUCCACACCGACUGAUGGAAUCGGACAAGGAGAAACAAGCGGAUUCCAGCGUGCAGUACCGCCUGUCCCCAGUGCUCGUCCUCACUGCGCGUCCUAAGCCACCAGCCUGACACACAGCUGCGCCCAUCCCGCCCCAGGGAUCCCGUCCCACUGAUCCCGCCCCACGGAUCCCGCCCCAGGGAUCCCAUCCCACUGAUCCCGCCCCAGGGAUCCCAUCCCACUGAUUCCACCCCAGGGAUCACAUUCCACUGAUCCUGCCCCACUGAUCCCAUCCCCCGGACGGACACGCUCCAGCUCCCCACUUAUAAACAAACCCAGAGAAAACCAGUCUGUCUUUCAGAUUCUAUUUCAAGUUCACAGUUUGGAGACACACAACAUUUGUGAUUGGUAUUGAUUCUCAUCACCCUUCUAGAAAAAAAUCAGUGGUAAAAUUCCUCACAAGGAGGAAAAAUCAAGGCACUAACCGGAGCGGAGUGUCAACAUUUCAAUGUUAUCUCUAGCAUUUCUUUCCUGGUAUUAAAAACAUGCUUUUAAAUCCAAACAA